Molecule: ribosomal RNA, 236 nt
Filed under: uncultured bacterium
Lineage: Bacteria
Description: partial 16S ribosomal RNA
Rfam family: Bacterial small subunit ribosomal RNA
Source: RNAcentral
CCGUAGCCCAAGAGACUGGGAUAACACCUGGAAACAGAUGCUAAUACCGGAUAACAACACUAGACGCAUGUCUAGNGUUUAAAAGAUGGUCUGCUAUCACUCUUGGAUGGACCUGCGGUGCAUUAGCUAGUUGGUAAGGUAACGGCUUACCAAGGCAAUGAUGCAUAGCCGAGUUGAGAGACUGAUCGGCCANAUUGGGACUGAGACACGGCCCAAACUCCUACGGGAGGCAGCAG